This 23-nucleotide small nuclear RNA is filed under the name Arabidopsis thaliana (thale cress). RNAcentral's name for it is "snRNA_16454". Lineage: Eukaryota; Viridiplantae; Streptophyta; Magnoliopsida; Brassicales; Brassicaceae. The record is from RNAcentral.
GAUAGAUUAGCAAACUAUGCUUU